Molecule: long non-coding RNA, 791 nt
Organism: Scophthalmus maximus (turbot)
Lineage: Eukaryota; Metazoa; Chordata; Actinopteri; Pleuronectiformes; Scophthalmidae
Exons: 2
Source: RefSeq, a predicted model, not a curated record
GUGGCGCAGCCAACAGGUAGCAAGAGGUCGAGACCAUCCAAAACAAAACUGCUACAUCUCUUAUCUAGGCUGAUGGCUGAGGUCACUAGUUUUUAUCCGCGGAUUGGAAAAAUGACAUAAUUCACGGACAAAAUCCAUUGAUGGUCUUACCCAAUAUCUAACACAACCCAAAUGCUGUGCACUGUGGGUAAACACUUUGCAGAAACAACAUCCGGCUCUCCAUGUGCGCAACAGAGUGGUGUGUGUGUGUGUGUGUGUGUGUGUGUGUGUGUGUGUGUGUGUGUGUGUGUGUGUGUGUGUGUGUGUGUGUGUGAGUCUCCUUUACCUCGGACAGCUUCUGAGGCACUGACCUGCCCCUGCCUGUGGACAAGACUGCCAUAGUCAUUUUGUCAAACUAACGGGACAAAGGCUCCAAAGAUGCUUUUGAUUUUGUUGGACAUCAACAUGUCUCGCGGGGCAGACAGCGCCUCACAUCACUGCCAUCCACCGGCUGCUCUCAAUCAGCACUACUGCGUUAGUUGCAUUUUUAACAUGUAGACUGUACUUUUUUCCUGUUCAUGGAUCAAACCUGGAUUCCGAGUAGAAGAACUGCAUUGUUGAGUUAUGCUCAGGUAUGUGCAUACAGCCAUGUAAAUGUAUUGUGUGUUUCGGUCAUGUACAUACAGGGCAGGCGUACAUCUUUUAGGCCUCGAUAAACUUUUAGUGUAAGUAGAGGAUUUUUAAUAAAGUUACAGUAUGUAUAAUAGAUAGAACUAUAUCACAAGGUACAAAUAAACAUCCUUAGAAAAUGA